Molecule: long non-coding RNA, 947 nt
Organism: Sebastes umbrosus (honeycomb rockfish)
Lineage: Eukaryota; Metazoa; Chordata; Actinopteri; Perciformes; Sebastidae
Exons: 2
Source: RefSeq, a predicted model, not a curated record
AAAAAGGCGAGAAAGCGCAGCCAUGCUUUGCAGAGGCUCCAGCAUCGCUCCUCUCAUUGGUAGUAGCAGCUCCUCCUCGACUAUAACGGACUCUUUGCUUGUCCGCAGCCUCGUUAUACACCGACAGGGAACCGGGAAUACAUACAAGCGAUCUGCCUCUCCGUGAUGUAAAGAUCUGUGUUAUAGUGCUAUAGAAAUGAAGUGAGGAGAAAAAGCAGCAGCAGCAGAGCGCGGAUCCAUAUUAUAGCAGAGCGCAGUGUUGAUGGAUCCACCAUAUGGCACAUCAUGGUGCAUUAUGGGAUAAUGGAGGACUUUUUUUUUGGAGGACAGUUUUUUGGACAAAUCAGUCGACGAGGACGCAUCAAACGGAGUCCCUUUUUUCUCUCCUGCAAAAAGCAACCUGGGACGUAGCAGCAUUUAAGUCAUUCCUGUAACCAUUACCUCUUGUCACUCCAAUUGAAUGUUUUUUUUACAUAAUAAGGUAGGCCUGCACAGCAACCAGGAGAGGAUUUGAUCUCUUUGGAUUUGGGAUUUUUUUUCCAUUUUUGGCAUCCAGAUAGUCACACAACACAGGCCUCAAAUGCUGCAAAAUUAUAUUUGAUUAUAUUUGUAAUAACAGGUUUUACGCAAAGGUUCGAGGUGUCCGUUUUCCCACAGCUGGACACACACAUGCAUGCAAACACACACACACACACACACACAGACGAACGGGUUGUGUCUCUCCGUGUUCACAGCGGACCUUGAUUUAAUGUCUUACAAUUAAGGCACGCGGUGAAUGCCAAGAGAUGAUCCUUCUUUUCUCCGGAUGUCUGCAGAUCCAACAAACGCAUCAUGACUAAUUAAAUGCUUUAUUGGUGUCGCUUCCACAGUGAAUGUGCUUCUUCUGUAACGCAUUAUACUCAUGUACUGUCUCCUUCUCCUUCCAACAAUAAAGUCAAUACACACAA